AACCCAAAGGACUUGACGGUUUUCCAUCCCCCUAGAGGAGCCUGUUUUAUAAUCGAUUCCCCCCGAUAAACCUUACCACCUCUUGAUAUUUUCAGCCUGUAUACCUCCGUCGCAAGCUUACCUUAUGAACGCAUGCUUAGUGAACCUAAAGAUUUUUACAUCUAUACGUCAGGUCAAGGUGCAGCCCACGACGUGGAAAUAAAUGGGCUACAAUUUCUAUCUUAGAAUAAACGAAAAACCAUAUGAAACACAAUUUAAAGGCGGAUUUAGUAGUAAAAGGAAAAUAGAGAGUUCCUUUUAAUCGGGCCCUGGAAUACGUACACACCGCCCGUCACCCUCUUCAAAUAACCAAACAACGUAACUAACACUACAAAUUUUUAUAGAAGAGGCAAGUCGUAACAUGGUAAGUGUACCGGAAGGUGCACUUGGAUCAACAAAAUGUAACUUAAUAAAAGUGUCUUGCUUACACCAAGAAUAUGUUUGUAAAACCCAAACCAUUUUGCGCUUAAAAUUCAGCCCUAACUUAUUUAAUGAAACAUACCAACCAACAAAAAAACCUAAACAUUUUAUAACUUAGUAAAGGCGAUUAAAAGUGCUAGAG
RNAcentral lists this ribosomal RNA (601 nucleotides) under Hylophorbus tetraphonus. Its description in RNAcentral is "partial 12S ribosomal RNA". The stretch from base 1 to 441 matches the Rfam family "Bacterial small subunit ribosomal RNA", at positions 898 to 1533 of the family's 1533-position model. Lineage: Eukaryota; Metazoa; Chordata; Amphibia; Anura; Microhylidae. The record is from RNAcentral.